This 1006-nucleotide ribosomal RNA is filed under the name Ravenelia ornata. Its description in RNAcentral is "partial large subunit ribosomal RNA". It matches the Rfam family "Eukaryotic large subunit ribosomal RNA", at positions 130 to 1063 of the family's 3401-position model. The record is from RNAcentral. Lineage: Eukaryota; Fungi; Basidiomycota; Pucciniomycetes; Pucciniales; Raveneliaceae.
UUCAGAAUAUGAGUUGUAAUUUUGAGAACUGUUUUCUAGUACUAGACCAAAUAUAAGUCUGUUGAAAAGCAGCACCAAAGAAGGUGAUAGUCCUGUAUGUUAUAUGGUAUUAAACUAGUGCAAUAUGAUACAGUUUCUAAGAGUCGAGUUGUUUGGGAAUGCAGCUCAAAGUGGGUGGUAAAUUCCAUCUAAGGCUAAAUAUAGAUGAGAGACCGAUAGCAAACAAGUACCGUGAGGGAAAGAUGAAAAGAACUUUGGAAAGAGGGUUAACAGUACGUGAAAUUGUUCAAAGGGAAACACUUGAAGUUAGCCUUGUUAUUASCAGAUCAACUCUUCUUUUAGGGUGUAUUCUGAGUGAUUAACAGCUCAACAUCAAUUUAUGUUAGUGUUGGAGAAGGUUUUUUAGGAAAGUAGCAGUUUUACUACUGUGUUAUAGACUAAAUUAAAGAGAUACAAUGCUAUAGAUUGAGGAAUGCAGUAAGCCUUGAUUAAUUUCAAGGUGGAUUUAUUUUUUUUUAAAUCUUCUUACUGAGGAUGUUGGAGAAAUAGCUUCAAAUGACCCGUCUUGAAACACGGACCAAGGAGUCUAACAUGCUUGCGAGUAUUUGGGUGAAUUGAAACCCUUAUUAUUAUUUUUUAAAUGUGCGUAAUGAAAGUGAAAGUAAAUGGGAACUUGAAUAGUUAGAGAGAUAGUGCACCAUUGACCAGUCUUGAUUAUUUAUAUGAGAGUACUGAGUAAGAGCAAGUAUGUUGGGACCCGAAAGAUGGUGAACUAUGCCUGAAUAGGGUGAAGCCAGAGGAAACUCUGGUGGAAGCUCGUAGCGGUUCUGACGUGCAAAUCGAUCGUCAAAUUUGGGUAUAGGGGCGAAAGACUAAUCGAACCAUCUAGUAGCUGGUUCCUGCCGAAGUUUCCCUCAGGAUAGCAAAGACUCAGAGAACAGUUUUAUGAGGUAAAGCGAAUGAUUAGAGGCCUUGGGGAUGAAAUAUCCUUAACCUAUUCUCAAAC